Small nuclear RNA from Heterocephalus glaber (naked mole-rat), 101 nucleotides. The record is from Ensembl. NCBI's taxonomy places the organism in Eukaryota, Metazoa, Chordata, Mammalia, Rodentia, Bathyergidae.
CUUGCCUUGGCAGGACAUAUUAAAACUGGAACUAUAUAGAGAAAUUAGCAUGACUCCUGCAAAAGGGUGACAUGCAAAUUCAUGAAGCAUUCUAUACUUUU